UACGUAGGGGGCAAGCGUUAUCCGGAUUCACUGGGUGUAAAGGGAGCGUAGACGGCGACGCAAGUCUGGAGUGAAAGCCCGGGGCCCAACCCCGGGACUGCUCUGGAAACUGCGGCGCUGGAGUACGGGAGGGGCAGGCGGAAUUCCUGGUGUAGCGGUGAAAUGCGUAGAUAUCAGGAGGAACACCGGCGGCGAAGGCGGCCUGCUGGACCGUGACUGACGUUGAGGCUCGAAAGCGUGGGGAGCGAACAGG
Molecule: ribosomal RNA, 253 nt
Filed under: uncultured bacterium
Lineage: Bacteria
Description: partial 16S ribosomal RNA
Rfam family: Bacterial small subunit ribosomal RNA
Source: RNAcentral